UUUGUCCUACGGGAGGCAGCAGUCGGGAAUAUUGCGCAAUGGAGGAAACUCUGACGCAGUGACGCCGCGUAUAGGAAGAAGGCCUUCGGAUUGUAAACUAUUGUCGUUAGGGAAGAAAAAGGACAGUACCUAAGGAGGAAGCUCCGGCUAACUACGUGCCAGCAGCCGCGGUAAUACGUAGGGAGCGAGCGUUAUCCGGAUUUAUUGGGUGUAAAGGGUGCGUAGACGGGAAUUUAAGUUAGUUGUGAAAUCCCUCGGCUCAACUGAGGAACUGCAACUAAAACUGGAUUUCUUGUGUGCGGGAG
RNAcentral lists this ribosomal RNA (305 nucleotides) under uncultured bacterium. RNAcentral describes it as "bacterial SSU rRNA". It matches the Rfam family "Bacterial small subunit ribosomal RNA", at positions 333 to 654 of the family's 1533-position model. The record is from RNAcentral.